UAAAAAUAAAAUUAGAUGAGAAAGAAGCCAUUUUAAUUCUAAAAUUAAAUGAUUCGAGUGGCGUUCGUAGAUUCGGACGUGGGCGUAGCGUUCGUGGAUUCGAACGUGGGGCGUGGACAGCCCGGUGACGUGCGCGAGAUCCAUAGGAGGUUAAGAGAUGUUAAGUCUAUAGAGUCGGUAAUCACCUUGUAAUCUUUUCUCUUAGUGGAUUAUUUUUUCGCGUGUUGGUCCCGUGGGUUUUUCUCCAAAUUGGAGUUUUCCCACGUAAAUCUCGGUGUGCUUUUUUAUUUUCCGCAUUUACUUUUAUCGCAUUGAGAUUUGUGGUUUUGGGCUUUACACCUAUUCAACCCCCUCUAGGUGUUUGAUAGUAUCUAGAUAGAUUCUAGAAUUUCCAUAACCUACACGGUUUUGCAAAACUGAUCUCCGUAACUCGUCGAAUGUCCCGAAAAUCACACCGGGAUGCCGCCGGGACCCACGAAGUGACCCGAAAUGUACUGACUCGUGUCACGAGUCACCCACUGCCUCGAAGC
This 530-nucleotide long non-coding RNA is filed under the name Ananas comosus (pineapple). Its description in RNAcentral is "long non-coding RNA (ACOM_LNC034724)". Lineage: Eukaryota; Viridiplantae; Streptophyta; Magnoliopsida; Poales; Bromeliaceae. The record is from RNAcentral.